Non-coding RNA from Gossypium raimondii (Peruvian cotton), 144 nucleotides. The record is from Rfam. NCBI's taxonomy places the organism in Eukaryota, Viridiplantae, Streptophyta, Magnoliopsida, Malvales, Malvaceae.
UAUUAAAAAUUUCAUCUAUUUGUACUAUUAAAAACUGGCGUAGGUAACGGGAUAACCAGACAAUAAUUUGUGGCAUGCCACAUGUACAUCAUGCUGACAUAGAGGGAUCUGUUUUUAACAAUAGAAAUGGUGAAAUUUUUAAUU